This is a long non-coding RNA of Folsomia candida, 953 nucleotides long. RefSeq lists it as uncharacterized. The transcript has 2 exons. The record is from RefSeq and is a predicted model, not a curated record. Lineage: Eukaryota; Metazoa; Arthropoda; Collembola; Entomobryomorpha; Isotomidae.
AUUCUUGCAUAGAUUUCAACAUUAAAAUAAACUUUGCACUAGGUUUCUGUAGCAAUUGAGGGAGAAAAUUCCAUGAACUACUCGAAAUUUGUAUUGUCUCAUUAUUCACUACAUAAUCCAUAUUUAGUAGGUUUACAAGAAAAACCUUACUUUUAACUUAUCGAGAUGCCAAGGGUUUUUCAAGCAGUAUUGGCUGUCGAAAUUUUAUGUGGGAUUUUACUCCCAAAAACGGAAGGGGUGACACAUAAGCACAACAAAUUAAUUAUUAAUUCAUUAACCCAUUCUGCCAGGAAAAGCAGACAAGUUUUGUAUCCUCACACUAUACAAGAACCUGUGUCCUAUCCUGCCUCACAGAACAGAACCGGCGAACUAAUUCCUCAUCCAGCCUCAAAUAGAUUAGACAAAUCAAGACCAGCAUAUAUAAAACGGUCGUGGUCCACAAAGCGGAAGAUACUCACAUUUCUGGCCGUAUUUGUCUUUAUAGCAGUUACUUUGCAGUUAUAUUUCUGUUGUAAGAGGCGAAAGGGGUCAGCGUGAUGGUGCCGAGAUCUUGGUUUACAUUUAAGUUGGAGUAGUUAUAUGAAUUAAAUAACAUUAGUUAAGCGAGAUUGUGAUAAAAAAGAGUUCCAAACAGGUACAAAUGUAUAAUAUCGAUGAAUUUAUGUACAUAGACACAUGUUAUGUUUCAUGAUUGUAAGGAGAAGGACUUCUGAAACUUAUGUACAUACAUACAUUCUUAAAUACGCAAGCACGUCUUUGAUGAAUGUGUUUUGUUUCACCAUGUUACCAAUUAGUUUUCUGAAAUAUGUAUUCCGUUAUUUGUUACAUACACAAAUUACACACAUUUGUGCAGUCAUAUUAUUUCUCUUAAAUAUCCAUGCAACACUUGCAUAUGUACAUGGUAUUCUUAUGGUAUAAAUUUAAUAAAUGUUCCUAUGAACAAAAUAAUAGCA